AAUCAACGCUGGCGGCGUGCCUCAGACAUGCAAGUCGAACGAUUAAACUUUCCUUCGGGAAAGAUAUAAAGUGGCGCACGGGUGAGUAACACGUAAGUAAUCUACCUUUGAGUGGGGAAUAACGUUCGGAAACGGACGCUAAUACCGCAUAAUGCAGCGGCAUCGCAAGAUGACAGUUGUUAAAGAUUUAUCGCUUGAAGAGGAGCUUGCGGCAGAUUAGCUAGNGGUAAGGUAACGGCUUACCAAGGCUACGAUCUGUAUCCGGUCUAAGAGGACGGUCGGACACACUGACACUGAAUAACGGGUCAGACUCCUACGGGAGGCAGCAGUCGGGAAUUUUGGGCAAUGGGGGAAACCCGUGACCCAGCAACGCCGCGUGAAGGAUGAAGUAUUUCGGUAUGUAAACUUCGAAAGAAUAGGAAGAAUUAAUGACGGUACUAUUUAUAAGGUCCGGCUAACUACGUGCCAGCCGCCGCCGUAAC
This 482-nucleotide ribosomal RNA is filed under the name uncultured bacterium. RNAcentral's name for it is "bacterial SSU rRNA". It matches the Rfam family "Bacterial small subunit ribosomal RNA", at positions 32 to 524 of the family's 1533-position model. The record is from RNAcentral.